CACGUCCCUCGGGACUACGUUGCCUGAUGCAGCACGCCGCGUGAGGGAUGACGGCCUUCGGGUUGUAAACCUCUUUAGGGAGGGAAGAAGCCUUCGGGUGACGGUACCUGCAGAAAAAGCGCCGGCUAACUACGUGCCAGCAGCCGCGGUAAUACGUAGGGCGCAAGCGUUAUCCGGAAUUAUUGGGCGUAAAGAGCUCGUAGGCGGUCUGUCGCGUCUGCUGUGAAAUCCCGAGGCUCAACCUCGGGCUUGCAGUGGGUACGGGCAGACUAGAGUGCGGUAGGGGAGAUUGGAAUUCCUGGUGUAGCGGUGGAAUGCGCAGAUAUCAGGAGGAACACCGAUGGCGAAGGCAGAUCUCUGGGCCGUUACUGACGCUGAGGAGCGAAAGGGUGGGGAGCAAACAGGCUUAGAUACCCUGGUAGUCCACCCCGUAAACGUUGGGAACUAGUUGUGGGGUCCUUUCCACGGAUUCCGUGACGUAGCUAACGCAUUAAGUUCCCCGCCUGGGGAGUACGGCCGCAAGGCUAAAACUCAAAGGAAUUGACGGGGA
This 550-nucleotide ribosomal RNA is filed under the name Microbacterium sp. H8. RNAcentral describes it as "bacterial SSU rRNA". It matches the Rfam family "Bacterial small subunit ribosomal RNA", at positions 376 to 919 of the family's 1533-position model. Lineage: Bacteria; Bacillati; Actinomycetota; Actinomycetes; Micrococcales; Microbacteriaceae. The record is from RNAcentral.